GGGGAUGCAAGGGGGGAACCUGAUGCAGCACGCCGCGGUGGGGUGAUGAAGGCCUUCGCGGUUGUAAAGCUCCCUCUGCUUGGGAAGAAAGGUGCCGGUAUUCCAAAUGUGGCUUGCCUCCCGGAAGGAAAAUUCCGAGAGAAGCACCGGAUAACAUCCGUGCCAGCAGCCGCGGUAAUACGA
Molecule: ribosomal RNA, 183 nt
Filed under: uncultured Desulfobulbus sp.
Lineage: Bacteria; Pseudomonadati; Thermodesulfobacteriota; Desulfobulbia; Desulfobulbales; Desulfobulbaceae
Description: partial 16S ribosomal RNA
Source: RNAcentral